Mya arenaria is the source of this 4320-nucleotide long non-coding RNA. RefSeq lists it as uncharacterized. The transcript has 3 exons. Lineage: Eukaryota; Metazoa; Mollusca; Bivalvia; Myida; Myidae. The record is from RefSeq and is a predicted model, not a curated record.
AUUAGGAAUGAUAUUGUUCAUAUUGUUUCAUCCUGCUACCUGUUUGCAUGUUUUUGUUCGUUUAUCAAAUAUACGCAUGUACUUUGCUUAUCAAUAUCAUGUCCACGUGUUUGUGAAUGGAGGAUAAAGAUACUGUAAUAAUGUUUCAAAGAUGAAUAUCGUUAAACACGUUGAUUAAAUAUUAACAUAUUUUUAAAUCACAUUUAUGAGAGUUAGGCGAAGAUUUUGUGAUGGAUUUUAUAUUUGCUACUGUACAAUAGGGGAGGUUACUGCGUAGGAGACGAACAUUUUCUUAAACCGGUUUAUAAUCAAAUCAAGUAGGACCUACUCCGGUGACCUCAGACGAACAUUCGUGUAAAAAAUGGAUUGAAAUGGACAAUCAUAAAAUUUUGGGCUAUGGACUUAUUGAAGACAACUGUAUGGAGAUAAACAGAAACACAGAGGUGCUAUACAUUCUGAUGGAAAAGACAACAAAAGCAUCUCCCAUCAUUUUGGCGUGGCUCAGAUCAAGAGGAGAAAUUUAAAAAAGGUGAUGGUUGGGCACACACAAGAAGACAUAGAUCACUGGCGUAUAGCAUAUGAGUAGACAGGAGUUUCACACUCUGCCAGACUUACUUCCUCAGACGAGCAGAUUUAGGCUUCUCAAGAUCACGCACUGCACACUAAGACAUAGUCUUUGACUACAACAAGGCCUUAGGGGAUGAAAGUACAGAGAGGUCCAAUUGAAAUCAAUUCUGUGCUGCAUCAUUUCUUUAUUCUAGAGGUUGAUGGACAUGAUUUAUGGCAUCAAGUGUGCAGUUUGUCAACUAACUAUCAACACAGCAGUCUUGUUUACCAGCUCUGUGCAACUUGAGCUUUUAGCUUUAUUGCUUGAAGCCACUGUAUAAGAGGAGGGAAGGUGCAGACUCAUCAAAAAGUCUCAAGGUUGAAACUAGGAAGAGAAGUUUGUCAAGAGUGUGAAUAUUUGCUUUGAAAACAAUUGUUACAAUGAUUUGGUUUCCUUUGAAACUUGAUACAUACUAUGUGUAUGUUGAAUGAAUUGAGAUGCUUAAAUAAAGAACCACUAUUCAAAUAUCAGGAAACUGCAUUUUUCAUACUAAAUUGGUAAAUGAUGUCACGAUUUCCUGUAUGUAUUUAAAUAAGAUAUGUUUCCACAAUUAAUAUUUUUAGGGACUAUUUCUCAACGUAAUGAAAUAGAUUAAAUUUGUACAGCGUUAUAUGAGCUUAAUAUGUGUUUUCUGUUUCCUUAAAAUUGAUGAAAAAUUGUCAGAAGGUAAUGAGACCAGUAUCCAUUACUGCAAUCAUACAAUAAAAAAUACAGGGACAAGCCCACUGCUCAUAUAAUAUGAUUAAACCUUGUUUAGGGGCAUGAGGCAAACAGAGUUACUUUCAAAUGUUAAAGAUGCACUCUCACACUUUGGAUGUUUAUGCCCCCACAAAGUGGCGGCAUAUAUAGGGUUGCCCUUGUCCGUACGUACGUCUGUCCGUACGUACGUACGUACGUACGUACGUCCCGAAGAUUGUUUCCGAUCUAAUUCUUGAAAACCGUUUGUCCAAUCCUCACCAAACUUUAAACACAUGUUUGUGACCAUAAUAUCUUGAUCAAGUUCGAUAGUCAUGGAAAUCGCUUUAGUCAUUUAGGAGUUACGGCCCUUUUUUGCCAAAAAUUCCCGAAGAUUGUUUCCGAUCUAAUUCUUGAAAACCGUUUGUCCAAUCCUCACCAAACUUUAAACACAUGUUUGUGACCAUAAUAUCUUGAUCAAGUUCGAUAGUCAUGGAAAUCGCUUCAGUCAUUUAGGAGUUACGGCCCUUUUUUGCCAAAAAUACUUCAAAAAUAUAUGUUUCCAAUCUAAUUCUUGAAAAGUAUGUGUCCAAUCCUCACCAAACUUUACAUACAUGAUUGUGACCAUAAUAUCUUGAUCAAGUUCGAUAGCCAUGGAAAUCGCUUUUGUCAUUUAGGAGUUACGGCCCUUUAUUUGCAAAAAAAGACUUGAAAAAUACGUCCCGAAGAUUGUUUCCGAUCUAAUUCUUGAAAACUGUUUGUCCAAUCCUCACCAAACUUUUAACACAUGUUUGUGACCAUAAUAUCUUGAUCAAGUUCGAUAGCCAUGGAAAUCGCUUUAAUCAUUUAGGAGUUAGGGCCCUCAGAUUAUCCUGAAUAAUCAUUAUGGCUUAUUUUCUGUGACAAAAAAGUGGGGGCAUCCGUGUCCUAUGGACACAUUUCUAGUUUGACAACUGUUUUCAUUUUUAGCUCUACUGGCCAAAGGCCAAAAGAGCUUAUGCGAUGGUAAUGUGUACGUAGUAUGUGCGUCUGUAAACAAUCCUCGUUUACAUGAUACAGCCUACAGUUCCUUUCGAAAACCAGCCAGAUCCGCCCAUGUAUGCCUAGUUUAUGGGCCUUGAUAGUAUACAAAAAUCAGUGUGUCAGUAGGCAAUUGCUCGUUAACAUGAUACAGCCUUUUUGAUUGUAUCUCAAUGAAACUUGUACAGUAUCUACAUAUCCAUAUGAGCUCGGUUCCUUUCGAAAACCAGCCAGAUCCGCCCAUGCAUGCCAAGAUUAUGGGCCUUGAUAAUAAAAAAAAAUAGUGUGUCAGUAAACAAUUGCUCGGUAACACGAUACAGUCUUCAGUUUUGAUUGUAUCUUGAUGAAACUUGUCCAGUAUAUCCAUUAGAGCUCAGUUCCUUUCAAAAACCUGAUCUGCCCAUGUUUCCUGGAUUAUUGGCCUUGAAAUUAUUAGAUGAUGGGCCUUGAUAGUAUAAAAAAUGCUAUUUUGUAAUAAAUGCUUGCGAAUAUGAUACAGUCUUCAGUUUUGAGUAUUCAGAUACCCAUAAGGGGUUGGUUCUUUUCGAAAACAGUGAUGUUGACCACACAAACCCAGCCAGUAGUGCAUAGGCCCUUUUGUUUGUUUUGGAUUGGUACCAUCCAGUCUUUGCGAAAAAUGCAUGGAAACCAGUAAUAUAAGACUACUGACAAAAAAUUCAAUUGCAGACUUUUUUAUUUAAGUUAAAACAUUGAUGUUUUAUGCACUUUUCUUAAAUAACAUUAAUCUUCGAAGGAAAUAUGAAAUCUGGGAUUUGAUGUUUUGUCAGCAAGCUUUUACCAUUGGUUUGCUGAUAUUUACGCAAAAAUUUGCUCAUUCCAAGACAAAACAAAAGUUGUUAAAACGGUAUAUCUGUGAGAAUGCAGCUCUAAAUGUUUUGGCAAACAUGUUUUUGAUUUGGCAGCACAAUCAAUCUUGAACAUUGCUUGAUUUUACUGCUGUAUUAGAAAUUACAGGGGUAAUGGGGGAUUUUUUUUAGUGUUUUUAUUGCUUUUUGUGAUUCAUACAGUCAUACUUCAUUCCCCAGGGCACAACUUACAAAUAGACAAAACAGGAAAAUGGUCAUUUUAAAAGGUCAAGGACAAUGCAAGUUAAACAAUCAUAUUGUUCAUGGCUUGUAUUUUUGGUAUAUUUUGUUGCAUAUAUGCUAUAAAAAAGUUGAAAGUUAAAAAUAACUUCAUAGUUGAAAUGAUGGCUUUGAAUGGUUUUGUCAGUUGAGAAACAGCACUAUUAAGAAAUAUGUUAAUGGUACUUUAUUAUUUUAAUCAAUUUUAGAUAUUUGUAUGAAAAUUAUUAUCUUAUUUUGUACAUGAGACCUUUUAAACAGUUAUUUAUAAUUUAACAAUGGGUAAAUGAUCAAAACUUAAAGCUGCACUUUCACAGAUUGUCAUUUUAGACACUUUAAAAAUUUUGUCUCAAAAGCUGAUUUGGUUAUCAUUCCUUUAAUUCAGUCAUAUUAGAUAAUUCACAAUAGAACCAAUCAAAAAUGUUUGGUAAGACUGCCGAAAAGUUCAUUUACAUUAAAUUGUUCGUAAUGCUACUAUACCCAUAAAACAUCAUUUUAGCCAUAAAUAUGACAAAAUGCAAUCUGAUCUUAUUUCAGCAGUCUUAUAUCACUUAAAAUUGGGUCUAUGCAAAAAAUGGUCUAUUUAUAGACCAACAAUAAAAGAGUGCCGGUAGUCAAAACGAUCAAUUAGUGAGAUUGCAGUUUUAAAUACACCUUUUUAAGUCCGCUGUAAAAUUCCAAUGGUUUGCCUCAAUCUUUAAAGCUAGCAUACUGUUUAAUUGACAGCCAUACUUUUUGUUUAAAAGUGUCAUGAUAUGUUUGUACAAUGUGUUUAUAUAAUUCAUUAAAGAAGUCAAAACAAAUUUGUUUAUCUUGUAAUUUGUUUUCUAUUAUUUAAAUGACCCAGACGAAAAUUGGGAACGUCAGUGCUAGUUCUUUUACUGCUAAUAUUCAAUGAAGUUUCUAUUGGUGUAGCAGCAAGGAGGUGUUACA